GGGGGUGUAGCUCAGCUGGGAGAGCGCCUGCCUUGCAAGCAGGAGGUCAGGAGUUCGAACCUCCUCAUCUCCACCA
This 76-nucleotide transfer RNA is filed under the name Chloroflexota bacterium. Its description in RNAcentral is "Chloroflexi bacterium (permafrost metagenome) tRNA-Ala". It matches the Rfam family "tRNA". From Rfam's summary of the family: Transfer RNA (tRNA) molecules are approximately 80 nucleotides in length. Their secondary structure includes four short double-helical elements and three loops (D, anti-codon, and T loops). The record is from RNAcentral. Lineage: Bacteria; Bacillati; Chloroflexota.